RNAcentral lists this long non-coding RNA (214 nucleotides) under Salvia miltiorrhiza (redroot sage). RNAcentral's name for it is "long non-coding RNA (SMIL_LNC003079)". The record is from RNAcentral. Lineage: Eukaryota; Viridiplantae; Streptophyta; Magnoliopsida; Lamiales; Lamiaceae.
AAACAUCAAUUCCUUUUAAUCCCCCCAUCCACCUCACACACUAUUCGUCUCUCUCUCUCUCCCUCUACCACCUCCCCCCUUCCCCCUCUCUCUCUCCUCUGCGAAUCUCGUCUCCGGCGCCUCCACCGCGCCUCCCUCCUUCGUCGUCGGCGACACUCACGGCUAUUCGUCGGCCUCGUCGCCCUCUCCAUCUCAACACCCAAUUUCAUCCCCA